Molecule: long non-coding RNA, 765 nt
Organism: Chenopodium quinoa (quinoa)
Lineage: Eukaryota; Viridiplantae; Streptophyta; Magnoliopsida; Caryophyllales; Amaranthaceae
Exons: 4
Source: RefSeq, a predicted model, not a curated record
UCAAAUAUAUUGGGUUUAUUUAGAGUGAUUAUUUAGAGUUGCAAGAAAGUUAAUAAAGUGUGGAAGACGAAAACGGAGGAGGUUAUGUUGGAGGAUUUCGGGUUUCGACAAAAAUUGCAAUGGAAAAGUAACAGGGUUGUGAUUAACCAUUAUAAGGCGAAGUCGGGGGUUGAUCAGUUGGAGAAUCGGUUGAGCCGGAGUAAGAGGAAGUGAUUACUGAAGAGGAUUUGCUAGAGUUGUUGGAGAAGCUUAGAGAAGAACAUCACUAUUGCCUCUUUUGUGGAUGUCAGUAUGAAUCCAUGGACUGCCCUGGACUAAACGAAGAUGACCAUUGAAGUGAUUUCUUGACAGCGUUGAGGGGCUAAUCCAUGGACUGGGCAAUUAUGGUUGUGACUGCAAAUUCUUGUCUCGCGUCUCUUUAUGCUGGUGGUGAAACAGAAAGCAUGGAUGACGCGUGAUGGUGUCUAUGGUGAUAUGGUUGACAUUAUUGUGGCUAGACUGGAUUGGGUGCCGGAAUGCAGUCCAUGUAGGCAUAUAAGUAUAAAACCCCUCGUCGGAUGUUGCCAUUGUUGAUAAUUUAGUAGUGAGUUGGCUAUUGAUGCAUACUCAUUGUGUUGCUUGUAAAAUAGGAAUUGCUGAAUUGUGCCUAUUAAUGUUGUAAACUGAUACCACUUUUAACUUGUGAUACAGAAUUACAAACCAGAGUUACUAAUAUAUUGAAAAAAACUGUGUUGAGAAAAUUUCAAUAUAUGAGUUGUUCUACUA